This 301-nucleotide ribosomal RNA is filed under the name uncultured bacterium. RNAcentral's name for it is "partial 16S ribosomal RNA". It matches the Rfam family "Bacterial small subunit ribosomal RNA", at positions 509 to 807 of the family's 1533-position model. The record is from RNAcentral.
CAGUCGCCGCGGUAAUACGAAGGGUGCAAGCGUUAAUCGGAAUUACUGGGCGUAAGGCGUGCGUAGGCGGUGAGUUAAGUCUGCUGUGAAAUCCCCGGGCUCAACCUGGGAAUGGCAGUGGAUACUGGCUCGCUAGAGUGUGUCAGAGGAUGGUGGAAUUCCCGGUGUAGCGGUGAAAUGCGUAGAGAUCGGGAGGAACAUCAGUGGCGAAGGCGGCCAUCUGGGCCAACACUGACACUGAGACACGAAAGCGUGGGGAGCAAACAGGAUUAGAUACCCCGGUAGUCCCUGUCUCUUAUAC